GACGAACGCUGGCGGCGUGCCUAAUACAUGCAAGUCGACCUUAGUGGCGUACGGGUGAGUAACCCGUCGUUAACCUGCCCAUCAGCAUCGGAUAACACUUGCAAACAGGUGCUAAUACCGUAUACUGAUGGAUGGACCCGCGGUGCAUUAGCUAGUUGGUAAGGUAACGGCUCACCAAGUCAACGAUGCAUAGCCGACCUGAGAGGGUGAUCGGCCACAUUGGGACUGAGACACGGCCCAAACUCCUACGGGAGGCAGCAGUAGGGAAUCUUCGGCAAUGGACGAAAGUCUGACCGAGCAACGCCGCGUGAGUGAUGAAGGUUUGCGGAGAGUAAAACUCUGUUGUUAGAGAAGCGGUACCUAACCAGAAAGCCACGGCUAACUACGUGCCAGCAGCCGCGGUAAUAC
RNAcentral lists this ribosomal RNA (408 nucleotides) under uncultured bacterium. RNAcentral's name for it is "partial 16S ribosomal RNA". It matches the Rfam family "Bacterial small subunit ribosomal RNA", at positions 28 to 526 of the family's 1533-position model. The record is from RNAcentral.